RNAcentral lists this ribosomal RNA (279 nucleotides) under uncultured bacterium. RNAcentral describes it as "partial 16S ribosomal RNA". It matches the Rfam family "Bacterial small subunit ribosomal RNA", at positions 506 to 784 of the family's 1533-position model. The record is from RNAcentral.
UGCCAGCAGCCGCGGUAAUACUGAAGGUGCAAGCGUUAACCGGAAUCACUGGGCGUAAAGCGCUCGUAGGCGGGUUAAUAAGUCAGAUGUGAAAGACAAUAGCCCAACUAUUGAACUGCAUUUGAAACUGUAAACCUAGAAUAUGGGAGAGGUAGAUGGAAUUUCUGGUGUAGGGGUAAAAUCCGUAGAGAUCAGAAGGAAUACCGAUUGCGAAGGCGACUUCCUGGACUAUUACUGACACUGAGGAGCGAAAGCGUGGGGAGCAAACAGGAUUAGAUA